CAUGGCUCAGGAUGAACGCUGGCGGCGUGACUAAUACAUGAAAGUAGAACGCUGAAGGAGGAGCUUGCUCUUCUGGAUGAGUUGCGAACGGGUGAGUAAAGCGUAGGUAACCUGCCUGGUAGCGGGGGAUAACUAUGGGAAACGAUAGCUAAUACCGCAUAACAGUAGAUAUUGCAUGAUAUCUGCUUGAAAGGUGCAAUUGCAUCACUACCAGAUGGACCUGCGUUGUAUUAGCUAGUUGGUGAGGUAACGGCUCACCAAGGCGACGAUACAUAGCCGACCUGCGAUGGUGAUCGGCCACACUGGGACUGAGACACGGCCCAUACUCCUACGG
This 334-nucleotide ribosomal RNA is filed under the name uncultured bacterium. RNAcentral's name for it is "bacterial SSU rRNA". It matches the Rfam family "Bacterial small subunit ribosomal RNA", at positions 18 to 344 of the family's 1533-position model. The record is from RNAcentral.